AUGGCGGCUGACGGGGGAGAAGACAUGGAUGCUCUUUGUGAUCCAGAUUUGGGCUACUUGGCGCGGCCGCGAACUGCCCUUGCCCAAACUAAGGUGAACAGCUGCGUGAAUGAGGAUAUGCAUGAUAUGUGCAUUGGAAGCCAAGAAGCUCUGUUCAUGCAGCCAAACUUCUCUUAUGUGGCGCUGUUGAAGGGUUAUAUUGACCUAAAUGGAGACUCUCAGACAAUCAAUACCCAGGGACCGGAGUCGUGCUUGGGUGCUGCUGACAUUGGUCAAACAAGCGAUGCGGGUGAACCUCUUCUACAUUCACAACAAACAAAGGCGGCUCAGGUCUUGGGCGGCGACUACACGUCCAACAGCACACCAAGCCUUCAGUUUUUAGGCAUGAUGGGUGACUUUGUUGACGACCAGGACAAUUCUCCUGUGCAAAUGGAGGAUCUAGAUGCACAAACAACAACUUUUGAAUUAUCCAAGGGAGGGGAUGAUAUAUCGUUUGAUGACUGUCAAGGAGAUCCAUGGAGGCCAACCCUCUUUGAUGAUAUUCGCUUGGAUCAGGUUGAUACAAACAAUGAAGAAAGAGACGGCUCUUCUGAGAGGGAGCAAAAUCAUACCUGGAAUCUCGAUUCGCCGACAUGUGUGUAUGCUGGUUCCUCUAGACAGUCUCGAGAGGCGGGAACAUCAACUGAUGCAUGCCAUCUGCAAGUGCAAGACAACAAGAAUGAAGAUAAUGAAAUCAAUGAAGAAACAAUAGAAGAUUUUUUGGAAAAUGAAAGACGGGCCGCAGAAGGAGGGAACGACAGAACAAUUGAUAGCGAGCUGAAACCUGAAACAGGGAUGCAUUUUGCUACGAGGGAAGAAGCUCAAAAGUUCUUAAACUUCUAUGCCUUUGUAGCUGGUUUCUCCAUAUCUGUUGUGUCGACUGCCCGCACAACCAGCAAAAAAAGGGACAGAGAAGUUACAAGGGUAACACUGAAAUGCAACAAGUAUGGGCAUAAUACAGAGGUUGAAAUGGAAAACUUGUCUGUACAAAGAAAAAGCACUGUCAUAGCGAAGACAAACUGCAAAGCACACAUGCUAAUUUCUUUGAAAGAUGGAAGAUGGCACAUAACUAAACUCAAUCUUGAUCAUAACCAUGAGCUCAACCCUGGCAGUAGGUUUUUUAGAUCUCAUGUUUACAUGUCUGAUGAAGAGAAAGCAUUGAUCAGAACAAUGAAAAGGUGCAACAUACCUACGAGGAAGAUAGUGGCAGUAUUGGCGUACAUAAGAGGAGGAAUGGACAAGUUACCAUACAACAAAAGGAAAGUGAGUAACUAUGGUACCACAAUAAACCGAGAAUUGGAAAAUAGUGACGUCAUGGAAGUGCAGCAAUACUUCGAGAAGAAACAAGCUGAGAGCCCUGGAUUUUGCUACUCAAUGGAAGUAGAUGCAAAAAACAAGGUCCGGAGUGUGUUUUGGACAGAUGCUAGAUCUAGAAUAAUGUACCAAGAGUAUGGGGACUGCAUCAACUUUGACACAAAUUCCUAA
RNAcentral lists this ribosomal RNA (1524 nucleotides) under Triticum aestivum (bread wheat). RNAcentral describes it as "partial small subunit ribosomal RNA". Lineage: Eukaryota; Viridiplantae; Streptophyta; Magnoliopsida; Poales; Poaceae. The record is from RNAcentral.